CGGCGUCACGAGUGGCAAUCGCAAUUAUUGGGUCUAAAGCGUUCGUAGCCGGUUUGAUAAAUCUUUUGUGAAAUUGUACAGCUUAACUGUACAGCGUGCAAGAGACACUGUCAAACUUGAGACCGGGAGGAGUCAGAAGUAUUCCAGAGGGAGCGGUAAAAUGUUAUAAUCUCUGGAGGACUACCUGUGGCGAAGGCGUCUGACCAGAACGGAUCUGACGGUGAGGGACGAAAGCUAGGGGAGCGAAUCGGAUUAGAUACCCGAGUAGUCC
Molecule: ribosomal RNA, 271 nt
Filed under: uncultured archaeon
Lineage: Archaea
Description: partial 16S ribosomal RNA
Rfam family: Archaeal small subunit ribosomal RNA
Source: RNAcentral